UGGGGAAUAUUGCACAAUGGGCGCAAGCCUGAUGCAGCCAUGCCGCGUGUAUGAAGAAGGCCUUCGGGUUGUAAAGUACUUUCAGUCGGGAGGAAGGUGGUAAGGUUAAUAACCUUAUCAAUUGACGUUACCGACAGAAGAAGCACCGGCUAACUCCGUGCCAGCAGCCGCGGUAAUACGGAGGGUGCAAGCGUUAAUCGGAAUUACUGGGCGUAAAGCGCACGCAGGCGGUUGAUUGAGUCAGAUGUGAAAUCCCCGGGCUUAACCCGGGAAUUGCAUCUGAUACUGGUCAGCUAGAGUCUAGUAGAGGGGGGUAGAAUUCCAUGUGUAGCGGUGAAAUGCGUAGAGAUGUGGAGGAAUACCGGUGGCGAAGGCGGCCCCCUGGACGAAGACUGACGCUCAGGUGCGAAAGCGUGGGGAGCAAACAGG
This 429-nucleotide ribosomal RNA is filed under the name Chloroflexota bacterium. RNAcentral's name for it is "Chloroflexi bacterium partial 16S ribosomal RNA". It matches the Rfam family "Bacterial small subunit ribosomal RNA", at positions 355 to 776 of the family's 1533-position model. The record is from RNAcentral. Lineage: Bacteria; Bacillati; Chloroflexota.